GCCCCUGUGGUGGAAUGGUAGACGCGGCGGAUUCAAAAUCCGCUUCCGCAAGGAGUGCUGGUUCGAGUCCGGCCAGGGGCA
This 81-nucleotide transfer RNA is filed under the name Hyphomonas neptunium ATCC 15444. It matches the Rfam family "tRNA". From Rfam's summary of the family: Transfer RNA (tRNA) molecules are approximately 80 nucleotides in length. Their secondary structure includes four short double-helical elements and three loops (D, anti-codon, and T loops). The record is from Rfam by way of RNAcentral. Lineage: Bacteria; Pseudomonadati; Pseudomonadota; Alphaproteobacteria; Hyphomonadales; Hyphomonadaceae.